GUGUUGUUUAAGUAAGUUUUUCUCAAAUUGGGGUACAUGUACCCCGAGAGGUACAUGAUGGCACUACCGGUGGUACUUUAAAGAGAGAUUGUUAGUCUUGGACCCACCCCAGGCGUGAGAUGAAUGGAAAUGAUAAAAUAUAUAGAAAUAAAUCUAUUCGGGAGCAGCUAGUGCUCCAGUGACGUCCAGUCAGGGUAGGCAAGGUAGGCAGUGCCUACCCAAGGGUGAAUUGAUAUAAUUAUAAAUUAUUUAUUUUUCCAUUUCCAAUAGCCUACAGUACCUAUAAGUUUGAAAGUGUCAGCAUUUUGUGCGUUUCAUAGCCCAAAUUACUAAACAGUGCUAUUUCCUGGAACAGGUGCACAGUCUCACUCCGCUGUAAGGCAGGAGGAGGCCACGCCCCCUCCCAAAGGCACGUUGCUCCUCUGCCUCUGUUCCCAUUGCGUGUUUUUACGUGUUUAUGCAUGCGCAGUCAGUUCCCCAAGAUGACAACCAUUUACGUACAAAGGCAGCCUAGAGACGUAACCGCGCUAUGCUAAAUGCUAUAUGUACGUUCACAGUGCAUUAGUGAAUUGUUAUCACGUGACCGCUACUGCUACUUUUUCUCGCUAGUGGGCGGAAUAACACUACAGUCAGGAUGACAGAGCUAGAGAUGAUAGAGAAACUUUGUUUUGAGGAAAAACGACAGCUUUUAAAAGAUGGAGACCAACACCUGAGCUACCAGACCUUCAGCAAAGAUAAGCCAAAGGUCUCGACUGUCAGACGUGUUUGAAUCCACAAUGUUUAUCAGAGACCUCAGUGACGUGCACAACAGAAACCAUGUGUGUAACGGCCACCACUCAAGUUAGCCUGGGAGGCGUACCAAACACCGUGAUCACCAAACAAUGUGCGCCACCAUCCACUUGUCCAUCCAUCGGCCCUCAGACUGUCACAAUAAAUGCGGGACUCAGUAAUGUGGUAACAUCGGCUCAGUGCUGCAACACGGACAACUGCAACACAGAAACUUUACCUGCACCGACCAGAAACACAACCGUCAACGAACUGGAGUGCAAUUUUUGCAUUCCCAACACCGACUUGUGCAACAUCAUAGUUGGAUGUGAAGGAAGUGAGAACAGUUGCUUUCAGGGAACAGGUGAGUUUGACUCCACCAUGUUUGUGUUUGAUUCCCUUAGAUGGACUGGUGCCCUGUCCAGGGUGUACCCCCGCCUAAUGCCCAAUGAGAGCUGUAGAUAGGCUCUAUCAGACCCCCGUAACCCUGAAAAAAGAAGCAAGUGGAUUAGAUCAGUGUUUCUCAAAUGAGGGUACGCGAUGACUCUACAGGGGUACUAGAGAGAGAGAGAGAGAAAGAAUGGAAAAUCAACAAUUGAGAGCAUGAAAAAUAUGGGUUUUAUGAUUUUUAUUUUUAGUUAAAAGUCUACAUUAUAACAAUGAUGAUUGAAAUGAUCUUGAUAAUAGAAAUGUCAGUCUUGUUCCCACAUCAGGAGGGAGAUGACUAGAGAUUAUUAAAAAACACUAUAGAAAUAUAUCAAUUCUGGAGGCACUAAAUCAAUGUUUUUCAACCUUGGGGUCGUGACCCCAUGUGGGACUGUCUGGAUUUCAAAUGGGGUCACCUGAAAAGUCUAGUAAUUGAUUAAAAAAGUAUUCUUUAAAUUUAAAACAACACAAUCUUAACUGUAUUUCAUACAUUCACUUUCUCAAAUAUAAAUCUAUUUAAAUUAAAAUACACUACAAAUAUAUCUGAGCUGGCGCACCUUGUCACUAAUCCUGGCCGCUUUGGAACACAGUGAAAAAUAACAGAAAUUAGCUUUUAAACUAAUUCUAGAACAAAAAUGUGUCUUUGGCCUGAAAUGUUUCAUAUCAAAAUUGGGUCACGAUCCAAAAAAAGGUUGGGAACCACUGUGCUACAUACUGUUUAUUCCACUUCUUUACAAAAAAUUGUUGUAGUUGGGCAAAAGGGGGAGACUUGGAUUCAGAAAUAAGAGAAAACAGGACGAGGAUUAGAAAAUGGAUGGAUUUUAAUCUUGAGGAAUGAAAUAAGGAGUCAUUCUCAUUCGCUGUCCUUUAGUUUACAACUUCUUGUUCAUGCUUAGUUAAAUAAUACAAAAAUAACUCAUGUAAAAAUAAUCUUUUGAGGGAAGAAGGAAACAUUUGUGAAACAGUUAUUGAAUGUUGCUGUGAUGGUUUUCUAUUGAUGAGCUCUGACUCACUGUUGCAACAUAAACUGGGAUGGGCACUGGAGUCUUGGAUUACGUUUGUACUAAAGAUAAAUGGGUGAUCAUUUAUUUAAAUUAGGGCCCUGACUAACACUGGAAUGUUGUCCAGUCUGUACCUCGCCUUGACCCCACGUCAGCUCUAAAAAAGUCCUCCAACCCAUAAUGGAAACAGUGGAAAUAGAAGAUCAACUAAAUAUGUUGGAUUUAAUUCAAUUAAAAGUCAAAGACAACUUGAUUAUUCCUCAUUUUUAGCCUCACAGUAGAAGUGUUUUUAGAGACAACAGAGACCUCUCCCACAGAGGAUGACUCAAAGGUUGUUUAAGGCUUUAGCUCAAAGGUCUGUAACCCAUGGCUCAGGAGCCACAUGUGGCUCUUUCAGCCCUCUGCUGUGGUUUUGUGGAAAAAAAUAAUCAGGUGUGUGUAUUUAUUCACCGAGGGAGAUUCAGACUUUAACUUGGAGAGAAUUCUGUAUUUUGGGUGAGACUCGAACAUUGUCCAUAAAACCUAAACCUCACUGAAUCACCUUUUUGGGAUUACCCUGGUUAUACCCCAUGAAGGAGCUCUGACUAUUUUUUUAUUCUCAAGCUAAAGAAGGUACAGCUUAAAAUCAAUAAGAACAUUAAAGUCGGCAACAAAUCAUUUAAAAUCAUACAUCAACAUGACCAUAAAUCUCUCUCAAUCAUACACAGUAGAGAAAAAAGUUCCUUUAACUUUGAUUUAAAAAUGUUCACAUGUGAUGCUGACUUCAGCUCUGCUGCAGUUUGUUCCACUUCUUUGCAGCAUAACAACUAAACACAGCAUCACCAUGGUUACUGUGAGCUCUGGGCUCCACUAUCUGACCUGUGUCCAUAGAUCUCAGAGACCUGCUGGGUUCAUACCUGACUAACAUCUCACUGAUGUAUUCUGGACCAAACCCAUUCACAGAUUUAUAACCAGCACCAGAACUUUACAGUCUCCUCUGAGGCUGACUGGGAGCCAGUGUAAAGACUUUAAAACUGGACUAAUGUGUUCUGACCUCUUUGUUCUGGUUCAGACCUGAGCUGCAGCGUUCUGAACCAGGUCUUGUAAAAUUUUCCAGAAAAUUCCCCUCGCAGGGUUCGAACUCACACAUUUUUGCUCAAUGACCAUAAAACUGAAGUUUGGCUUUUCUUCUUAAAUACAAGAAGGACUCACAUGGACAUUUUUGUUGCAUAACAAACACAAAUGUAACUCAGCAAUGAACUGAUUUUAUAAGAGCAACACACUAUAGAUUGUUUAUAAACAGCAUAAAGAAAACAAAAAAUCCCCAAAAAAAAAACGUUAAAUGAAGCUUUAUCUUCAUUUUAAACGUCUAAUGUGGCUCCUAAUGCUUUCUUUGGCUCUUUGACUGAUAAAGUUUGCGAGCUCUGCUUUAGCUGCUAUUAUUGGCUAACGUCACCAAACCUUAAAAGCAGUUUUUUGAUUUAAUGAAGUGGGAAAAAAAAGUCCCAAAGACAGCAUCGACUUGGAACUGAGAAAGUUGUUCGUCAUCAACGACUAGUCACGAAUAAAGCAUGUGACUGGUUUGGCCA
This 3760-nucleotide long non-coding RNA is filed under the name Gouania willdenowi (blunt-snouted clingfish). RNAcentral's name for it is "lncRNA (ENSGWIG00000001230.1)". Lineage: Eukaryota; Metazoa; Chordata; Actinopteri; Blenniiformes; Gobiesocidae. The record is from RNAcentral.